GUGCUUGCGUCAGCUGCACAUGUAUUAAAAUUGGAAUGAUACAGAAGAGAUUAGCAAGGUUCCCGAAUGAAGGUGAGACACAAAUUCGUGAAACGUUCUGUAUUUUU
Molecule: small nuclear RNA, 107 nt
Organism: Mustela putorius furo (domestic ferret)
Lineage: Eukaryota; Metazoa; Chordata; Mammalia; Carnivora; Mustelidae
Source: Ensembl